Diprion similis is the source of this 151-nucleotide long non-coding RNA. RefSeq lists it as uncharacterized. Lineage: Eukaryota; Metazoa; Arthropoda; Insecta; Hymenoptera; Diprionidae. The record is from RefSeq and is a predicted model, not a curated record. The transcript is spliced from 3 exons.
CGUCGCAUUUAAUAGAACUUUAGCUAAUUGUAAGAAGUGGUAAAGACAGCUAGCCUUAUAGUUCUUAUUAUGGUGAGUAUGCAUGCAAGAAGAAUUACUCGUUAUAAUUAAGAUUUUUGUAUUUCCAAUUGGAUAUCGAAGUUACUAACUC